UACGGAGGUGGCAAGCGUUGCUCGGAAUCACUGGGCGUAAAGGGUGCGUAGGCGGCGCGGUAAGUCGGGUGUGAAAUCUUGGAGCUUAACUCCGAAACUGCAUUCGAUACUGCCGUGCUUGAGGACUGGAGAGGAGACUGGAAUUUACGGUGUAGCGGUGAAAUGCGUAGAUAUCGUAAGGAAGACCAGUGGCGAAGGCGGGUCUCUGGACAGUUCCUGACGCUGAAGCACGAAGGCCAGGGGAGCAAACGGG
RNAcentral lists this ribosomal RNA (253 nucleotides) under uncultured bacterium. RNAcentral's name for it is "partial 16S ribosomal RNA". It matches the Rfam family "Bacterial small subunit ribosomal RNA", at positions 524 to 776 of the family's 1533-position model. The record is from RNAcentral.